AAAGAGGAAAGAUGGGGUAUCAUCCCAACAACUUCCUUCGGCCCCAUGAGUGACCUUCAAGGUGGAGGUAGUGCCAGGGUUGAGUCAUCCUGGUCAGCCCCAGCUUGGCACUUCAACUAAUUGUUCUUGCCAAGGAAGAUGGUGAAGACAGGAAGGCUGAUUUAUUUGAGGAUACACGUAUCAACAUCAUCCUACAGGAGAAAACCAAAGAAUUGGGGAAAAAAAAAGCGAGUGCGAGCCGCCGCCUGCAGUGGAGCGUGCUCGGCCUCCAAGAGGCAGUCGUCUCCAACUUUUCCUCUCCCGCCCCAACUCCGCGCGUCUCAAACUUCGGCUCUGCUGGAACCCAAAUCUGCCUGCCGCUCGACUCCACUCUAAUAAGGGCGCCAAGGCCCCUGGCAGUUGUUUGCAACGUGGGGCCCACGUUCUCGAGGCUCAGGCCUGCCCGAAGGCCUGCUCUCAGCGCCUGGGCCCAGUUGGCAAGGGGGAACCUAGCGUCCCGGCUGCACCCCGGGAGAGGGCGGAGCGCUCCCGUGCCCCGGGGCAGGGGGGUAGGGAUCUCCCGCGCCCGGAACGUUGCGAGCAAGGCUUGUGAACGUCGCAGGGGGGCACUCUCGAGAGACGGACAGGAAGAGGGCCAGGGGGGAACGCCAGAACCCGGGACCCACAGCACGGAAACGGCCCAGGGGCUGAGCAGAAGUCAGAUCCCGGGAUGGAGGGAGCCGAAGAAGAGGAGUGAGGAGGCAGUGAAGGCAGGCUCUGCUGCCCUCCUGGAGGCCGGCAGUCUGCUGGGGCAGUGGAGGACCAGGCCACCCAUAAAGGGAAGGGGUCAGGAGGUCGGGGCCCCGGCCUUAUAG
Molecule: long non-coding RNA, 854 nt
Filed under: Bos mutus (wild yak)
Lineage: Eukaryota; Metazoa; Chordata; Mammalia; Artiodactyla; Bovidae
Description: lncRNA (ENSBMUG00000011353.1)
Source: RNAcentral